AUUUCUUCAGUGAUACAGAUACUAAAAUUAGAAUGAUACAGAAAAGAUUAGCAGAUCCCUUGUGUAUGGAUGGCACUGAAAUUUGUGAAAGGUUCCAUAUAAAA
This is a small nuclear RNA of Erinaceus europaeus (western European hedgehog), 104 nucleotides long. The record is from Ensembl. NCBI's taxonomy places the organism in Eukaryota, Metazoa, Chordata, Mammalia, Eulipotyphla, Erinaceidae.